This 230-nucleotide long non-coding RNA is filed under the name Homo sapiens (human). Its description in RNAcentral is "HSALNT0350464". The record is from RNAcentral. Lineage: Eukaryota; Metazoa; Chordata; Mammalia; Primates; Hominidae.
CAGUCAUGCUUCUAGUGGUUCAAUUUGCUAAUGCAAGGGUUGAUUUUAUGUGAAGCCAUGCUGAAUGUACUGCAGUGCCAUGCUGGGUAUCUUAAAGAACAAGGCAUUGUCCUCUGCAGACACCCAGGCUGCAGACUUCAAGGACUGGAAGAAGAGCUUUGCGUCUUCUCUCUUCUCUAUACAGACACAAUCUGUAGCAGCAAAUGUGUUACAGAUGGACAGAAGCUGGG